UAAAUCCUGUGACUCCUCACAAGGAUUGCCCUAGCCAAGGUCUUACUAAAUUAAAAUGCAAAGCAUUCUCUCCAAUCUCUUGGAGUGGUCAAUUCUAUUUUGACUCAUGCACGGCCUUCACAAGUACUUGACUAUGUCCAGAAACCUUCUGAUCCUGAUUUAAAAAUUCAGAUAGUUCGGCACCAAAGCACAGUAAGUUGCUUCAAGUCACCAUGGUGAUCUU
Molecule: long non-coding RNA, 223 nt
Filed under: Elaeis guineensis (African oil palm)
Lineage: Eukaryota; Viridiplantae; Streptophyta; Magnoliopsida; Arecales; Arecaceae
Description: long non-coding RNA (EGUI_LNC065156)
Source: RNAcentral